CCCAUGGCAGGAUCCAGCCCAUGGGACUGCCAUCCCCAUGGAGCAGUGGGCCCUGUGCCACUCCCAGAAGUGGCCAGCACCAUGUCCCUUUGGCCCCUGGGGGAGAGGGAACAGAAGGCUCCGCACUGCUCUUGCCUGUGGGUACCUCCCCUGAAGCUCCCAUUGACUGGGAAUAGGUGUGGGGGGAAAUUAUGAGUUUAGGCUUUUCUGCUUGGCCUGGGCCCGCCCGGCGACUGACAGGCCCAAAACCCGAGCUAAGUUAUGUAUUGUGCUCCCUGACAAAGGUGGUCAGGGGUUGUAAUGCGGGGAGGGGGGGCCAGAGAGCAAGCGACGGAAAGCCCCAAAACCAGGACCAAUUCACAAUAUGUGCCUACUGCUGUUAAAAUAUAAUAGCCGCUUAUGUGAAGCAAUAAGGUGACCUAUAAGUGUGAAUCAAUCACAGACCAUACCUCCCCCUACUCCAUUUGUGUAACCGUGUCACCCCCUACCCCAUUUGUGUAACUGGACCCCAUAAAAGGACAACUGUGCAAUAAUCACCCAAUAAACCCCAAAAGACCGUAACUCAAAUUGCACCCAUACUGGGGGGAGGUGGCAAAAGAACAAUGGAAAGUACCAAGAGACCCUAACUCUCUAAUUCCUAAUAAGGUUGUUAUCUACAUGUGUAUAACUUAAUUCCUAAUAUGGACAAUUACUACUUAACUGUGUGUAAUUUGUUUGCGGUUUUAAGCUUUAAAAGGCUGCUGCGUGCUUAUCAUCAUGGGAGCAGUUCCAAUACUGCUACCCUCAACGCGUUGGUGUGUUAUCAAUGGGCCUCAGGCUUGAGUCUCUCAACUAAAAGUGAUGCGUGGGUGAAUUUUCCACAACAUGGGGAACCAUGGCCAACGGGAGCUUCAGGGGAGGUACUCACAGGCAAGAGCGGCAUGCAGAGCCCUCUGCCCCCCCUGCCCUAGGGACCACAGGGACCUGGUGCCAGCCAGUUCCUGGAGCGGUGCGGGGCUGGGGGCCUGUCCUCGCCCCGGUGCAUGCCACUGCCACCCCGGAGCUGCUACAGCCGUGCAAGGAGAUGGCACUAGAGAAGCACUUUUCCUCCCAUUCUGAGCUCUCCAUUUAUAAAUUACAUACCUCAUUAAGGCAUGGACCCCAAGAACAGCCACAGAGAAUGGGAUGCACUAGAGAGGCCAGGUCCCAGAAUCCUUAGAGUGGCUGCUCCUAGCUAAAGACAAUGUAACAUGACACAGGAGGUAAGCACUGGAGUCACCACACCAAUGACCAGACACGUCCUGAUAUGCCAGCGUGCGGAAACUUCCUGUGAGAUUUGCACCAGAUCAAGUAAAGCAAUAAACAUGGAAAUAGUCCUAUAUUUGGAGAAUAACCUAAAGAGCUAAGAUGAGUAAUUUUAUACACCCUAGCAGCUUAUAUUGUUCUUUAUGCUUUUCUGAGCAGGUUAGUGGCUGUGAAAAGAGGCUGUUUAACUGCACAGUGUAAAGAAAAAAAAUCUUAUAAAAGCCACACAAAAAAAUAAAGUUGGUGAUUUCA
Long non-coding RNA from Gopherus evgoodei (Goodes thornscrub tortoise), 1536 nucleotides. RefSeq lists it as uncharacterized. The record is from RefSeq and is a predicted model, not a curated record. The transcript has 2 exons. Lineage: Eukaryota; Metazoa; Chordata; Testudines; Testudinidae.